Molecule: long non-coding RNA, 224 nt
Filed under: Musa acuminata (dwarf banana)
Lineage: Eukaryota; Viridiplantae; Streptophyta; Magnoliopsida; Zingiberales; Musaceae
Description: long non-coding RNA (MACU_LNC009076)
Source: RNAcentral
GGAGGGGAGAAGUAGAGGUCAAUAGAAGGGAGGAGGAGGUGGAAGAGAAAAACUAGGAGGAAAGUUGAGUUUGGGUUUAAAAAUUUUGAUUUGGAUCGAAUCAGUUGAAAAAAAAAAGAUUGUGAAUUAUUUCUUAUUUUUAAUAUCAUUUGAUAUAAAAGAUAAGGAUAUUUUUAUUUAAAUAGAAAAAAAAGACACACUAAGGUAAAAAUGAAUUAGAAGGG